UAUUGUCUGUCCCCUGAGCUUCGCUGGAACGUCACGUGACCAAUGACCCUGCACAGAACCAAAACAAUAUGAAGGACAUGAACGACUUAAUUUUCUUCGGCGACGAUUUUGAUGCCAUAUUAGAAACUUUGGAAAACGAGGAAGAAUACAAGAGCCCUUUGUCGAAGCAGCUGACUCUGUUCAAUACGAAGAGGGAAUUGUUUGCUAGUUGUGCCAAAAGAAAUGCAAGACUAAGGCUGGAUUAAAAAGACAUAAGACAAUAAAGCAUAAGGAGGAACAAGCGCGGGGAAAUCAACCGACUCAAGAAGCCAAAUUCACUGCUGAAGACUUCGAAGCGUUAUCAAUCAAAGCACGAGAU
Molecule: long non-coding RNA, 358 nt
Organism: Stylophora pistillata
Lineage: Eukaryota; Metazoa; Cnidaria; Anthozoa; Scleractinia; Pocilloporidae
Source: RefSeq, a predicted model, not a curated record